Molecule: ribosomal RNA, 882 nt
Filed under: Salmonella enterica
Lineage: Bacteria; Pseudomonadati; Pseudomonadota; Gammaproteobacteria; Enterobacterales; Enterobacteriaceae
Also listed under: 1 other name
Description: partial 23S ribosomal RNA
Rfam family: Bacterial large subunit ribosomal RNA
Source: RNAcentral
CCCCGGUAAACGGCGGCCGUAACUAUAACGGUCCUAAGGUAGCGAAAUUCCUUGUCGGGUAAGUUCCGACCUGCACGAAUGGCGUAAUGAUGGCCAGGCUGUCUCCACCCGAGACUCAGUGAAAUUGAACUCGCUGUGAAGAUGCAGUGUACCCGCGGCAAGACGGAAAGACCCCGUGAACCUUUACUAUAGCUUGACACUGAACAUUGAGCCUUGAUGUGUAGGAUAGGUGGGAGGCUUUGAAGUGUGGACGCCAGUCUGCAUGGAGCCGACCUUGAAAUACCACCCUUUAAUGUUUGAUGUUCUAACGUGGACCCGUAAUCCGGGUUGCGGACAGUGUCUGGUGGGUAGUUUGACUGGGGCGGUCUCCUCCUAAAGAGUAACGGAGGAGCACGAAGGUUGGCUAAUCCUGGUCGGACAUCAGGAGGUUAGUGCAAUGGCAUAAGCCAGCUUGACUGCGAGCGUGACGGCGCGAGCAGGUGCGAAAGCAGGUCAUAGUGAUCCGGUGGUUCUGAAUGGAAGGGCCAUCGCUCAACGGAUAAAAGGUACUCCGGGGAUAACAGGCUGAUACCGCCCAAGAGUUCAUAUCGACGGCGGUGUUUGGCACCUCGAUGUCGGCUCAUCACAUCCUGGGGCUGAAGUAGGUCCCAAGGGUAUGGCUGUUCGCCAUUUAAAGUGGUACGCGAGCUGGGUUUAGAACGUCGUGAGACAGUUCGGUCCCUAUCUGCCGUGGGCGCUGGAGAACUGAGGGGGGCUGCUCCUAGUACGAGAGGACCGGAGUGGACGCAUCACUGGUGUUCGGGUUGUCAUGCCAAUGGCACUGCCCGGUAGCUAAAUGCGGAAGAGAUAAGUGCUGAAAGCAUCUAAGCACGAAACUUGCCC